Molecule: long non-coding RNA, 706 nt
Organism: Zingiber officinale
Lineage: Eukaryota; Viridiplantae; Streptophyta; Magnoliopsida; Zingiberales; Zingiberaceae
Exons: 4
Source: RefSeq, a predicted model, not a curated record
UAUUUAUAUACUGUUAUCCAUAAAAAAAAAUAACUUUGUGGCAAUUACAUGAUGGAAGGACAUAAUACCAAGGAAAAACUUUGUCAGUUACCUCUACCUAUUAAAAUAUAAUGAUAGGUUUUUUUCAAGUUUUGUAAUUACAAGUUUUGUAAAACUUGUGUGAAUAAUACAUGAUAUUUAUUUGUUUAAAAUAUAAUGAUGUAGGAAUCAAUUUUUUAUAUGUGAUUUUCUUUCUUGGUAAUCAAAAAGUUAACUUGCAUGUUUGAUUGUUUUGGAGAUUUUUUGUCUUAAUGAGUGAUUCACCUUUGUUUAGAACCCUCCCAAGCUGGCUACUCCUCUAUUUGAUACUGAAAUGGCAGAGGACCCUAAGAUGACAUACAUAGACCUAGAUAAUCUUCAAAUUGUGUUUUGAACGAAGAGUGUUUGGUCUUGCAUUGUGAUGGCGUCUGAGUGUUGACUUGGUCUCUGUUGGCUUGCUACAUAUCUAGAAAGCUCCAUGAUUUGUGCUAAGCUGAAGCGUAUCCAAUUUGGAUUUUCCAGCUCAAAAUAUCAAUAGAUUUGUUGUGGUAGUGCCUUAACAGGAUUUGAGACUUCUCCAUUCAGGAAAAGACAAGUCCGGUAGAUACAAAAAUUACAAGAUUGCAAGUUUGGAUUGAAGGUCACAAGAAAAAAAAUGGGGAGCCUAGUACUCAAGCUAUUGGAGAGA